This is a non-coding RNA of Reticulomyxa filosa, 80 nucleotides long. The record is from Rfam. Lineage: Eukaryota; Foraminifera; Reticulomyxidae.
CUACCGGCGUCGAGAGGCGACGGGACGCGCGCUCAGAAGUCAGCAGAGGCCAUAGUAGGUGCCGAUAUGGACCGAAGGGC